UGCGGUUUCACAAAUGUAGGCCGAGGUUC
This 29-nucleotide small RNA is filed under the name Bombyx mori (domestic silkworm). RNAcentral describes it as "ovarian small RNA-33993". The record is from RNAcentral. Lineage: Eukaryota; Metazoa; Arthropoda; Insecta; Lepidoptera; Bombycidae.